CAAUGCAAAUAUCCGAAUUUGAGGAAUCAAGAGAAUCAAGAAUUCCAUCUGACACAAGUUUCCGAAUUCUUUGUUUAGAUAUGUGACCCAAACGUUUGUGCCAGAGUGAUAAAGAAUUCUCAAUAGUUAAUUUUCUUUUGGUACCACUUGAACUUGUAUGCAAAGUUUCAUUAGGUGAGGUUAUUAUGUCAACCAAAUAUAGGCUAUCAUAUGUUGAUAAAAGACCAGUACCGAUAAGAUUUGAACCUUGAAAGAGACUAACUUUAUUGUCACNN
RNAcentral lists this long non-coding RNA (275 nucleotides) under Nicotiana benthamiana. RNAcentral describes it as "long non-coding RNA (NBEN_LNC038376)". The record is from RNAcentral. Lineage: Eukaryota; Viridiplantae; Streptophyta; Magnoliopsida; Solanales; Solanaceae.